AAGUCGUAACAAGGUUUCCGUAGGUGAACCUGCGGAAGGAUCAUUAAUGAAUUUGUCUUUUCAAGACCCUUUCUAUACCCUUUGUUUACCUUACCACGUUGCUUCCACUGGACAGGUCAAUUCUGACCCUUUGGCUUGUCUUUUUAAGACUUGCUGGGGAGUGCCGGUGGAUGACUCAAACCAAAAACUUAAACCGAAAUUUACUUUGUCUGAAUCAUUUUAUAAAUUAUUAUAAAACUUUCAACAACGGAUCUCUAGGCUCUU
Molecule: unclassified non-coding RNA, 264 nt
Filed under: Peziza buxea
Lineage: Eukaryota; Fungi; Ascomycota; Pezizomycetes; Pezizales; Pezizaceae
Also listed under: 1 other name
Description: partial internal transcribed spacer region
Rfam family: Eukaryotic small subunit ribosomal RNA (bases 1-46)
Source: RNAcentral